This 478-nucleotide long non-coding RNA is filed under the name Homo sapiens (human). Its description in RNAcentral is "HSALNT0041206". The record is from RNAcentral. Lineage: Eukaryota; Metazoa; Chordata; Mammalia; Primates; Hominidae.
UGAGGAUGUAACCCUCCACUUUGGGCUUCGAAGAUGGAGGAAAGGACCACAAGCCAAGAAAGGGGGAUCCCACCAGUCCCUUUCUAUGGGGGAGAACUUGGAGUGGUUCUGCUGUCAGUUUACACAGUGAGAUCUUACACCAUAUGUAACUCUCAAGGCUGGAGAGAUGAUAUGCCGCCAACAUGGUUGGGAAACAUGGAGAAGCAGAAAGCUCGUAGCUGGACUACCCUACAAGGAGAAGUGGCUUCUGUGAAAUUGUAAAAUGCUGCACACUGCUGCUCUUCCUCCCUGGUUAUUCUCCUUCUGAACCCUCAUAUAUUAUUUUAAAAAUUUUAAACAAAUAAACAAGCAAAACACAAGGAUGCAUAAGUCAGCCUUUCUUCCAGCUCUCUGGCUUGGUGGAGGGAUGGAAGUAGGGUGGAAACGGAAAAACACAUUGUCGGGCCAAAUAGUAUUUUACCUCCAAACAUGGGCCACC